AUUGAACGCUGGCGGCAGGCUUAACACAUGCAAGUCGAGCGAGCGGCGGACGGGUGAGUAAUGUCUGGGACCCUUCCUGAUGGUGGGGGAUAACUACUGGCAACGGUAGCUAAUACCGCAUACCAUCGGAUGUGCCCCGAUGGGAUUAGCUAGUAGGUGGGGUAAUGGCUCACCUAGGCGACGAUCCCUAGCUGGUCUGAGAGGAUGACCAGCAACAAGGGAACUGAGAAACGGGCCAGACGCCUACGGGAGGCAGCAGUGGGGAAUAUUGCACAAUGGGCGAAAGCCUGAUGCAGCCAUGCCGCGUGUGGGAAGAAGGCCUGCGGGUUGUAAAGUAUUUGCAGCGAGGAGGCGUUACUCGCAGAAGAAGCACCGGCUAACUCCGUGCCAGCAGCCGCGGUAAUAC
This 406-nucleotide ribosomal RNA is filed under the name uncultured bacterium. Its description in RNAcentral is "partial 16S ribosomal RNA". It matches the Rfam family "Bacterial small subunit ribosomal RNA", at positions 30 to 526 of the family's 1533-position model. The record is from RNAcentral.